This 115-nucleotide non-coding RNA is filed under the name unclassified sequences. RNAcentral describes it as "drum RNA". It matches the Rfam family "drum RNA". From Rfam's summary of the family: Firmicutes, Bacteroidetes (1 example), Proteobacteria (2 examples), Spirochaetes (2 examples). Terminator (Clostridia) The record is from Rfam by way of RNAcentral.
CAGCGUUGAAGCAAUUGGUGGGGUCAGCGUCCGUACAAUUGCGGAGCUUUGAACGAGGGUUUGGGACAUAUCCACAAGCUGACGUAGGAGGAAUCCGAAAGAAAAUGUCCUUUCA